GUGUUCACUUCAUAAUAUACAGAAAAAUUGAGGACACAGAGAUGAAUGGCAUGGGAUUUGCACAAGGAAGAUGUGCAUUUGUAAAGCAUUUCAUAUUUUU
This 100-nucleotide small nuclear RNA is filed under the name Cervus elaphus hippelaphus. Lineage: Eukaryota; Metazoa; Chordata; Mammalia; Artiodactyla; Cervidae. The record is from RNAcentral.